RNAcentral lists this ribosomal RNA (492 nucleotides) under uncultured bacterium. Its description in RNAcentral is "partial 16S ribosomal RNA". It matches the Rfam family "Bacterial small subunit ribosomal RNA", at positions 29 to 507 of the family's 1533-position model. The record is from RNAcentral.
AGUGAACGCUGGCGGUAGGCCUAACACAUGCAAGUCGAACGGCAGCACAGUAAGAGCUUGCUCUUACGGGUGGCGAGUGGCGGACGGGUGAGGAAUACAUCGGAAUCUACUUUUUCGUGGGGGACAACGUAGGGAAACUUACGCUAAUACCGCAUACGACCUACGGGUGAAAGCAGGGGAUCUUCGGACCUUGCGCGAUUGAAUGAGCCGAUGUCGGAUUAGCUAGUUGGCGGGGUAAAGGCCCACCAAGGCGACGAUCCGUAGCUGGUCUGAGAGGAUGAUCAGCCACACUGGAACUGAGACACGGUCCAGACUCCUACGGGAGGCAGCAGUGGGGAAUAUUGGACAAUGGGCGCAAGCCUGAUCCAGCAAUACCGCGUGGGUGAAGAAGGCCUUCGGGUUGUAAAGCCCUUUUGUUGGGAAAGAAAAGCAGCAGGUUAAUACCCCGCUGUUCUGACGGUACCCAAAGAAUAAGCACCGGCUAACUUCGUG